CACCACGUGACACGAGGACAGCGCGGACAGAGCCUCCAGACACAGAUCAGAGUGAGACAUGCCGAGGACGAGACGAGGACAGGACAGACAAAAUGUAAAUCAGGGAUGUGCAGGUGUGGUUCAGCGAGGGUCACAGAGGACGCGUCCCUACAUUACUCCAGUCUGAGACACCUGCACCAGCCCCGCCCCAUGGUCCGAGGGCAGACUCACCUGGUCGCAGAGGACGUCGUUUACUCGAAGGUGAACCGUGGAAAAAACUCAAAGUGAUGGCAUGACGUUUGGCUGCCACCUGCUGGUGACAG
Solea solea (common sole) is the source of this 302-nucleotide long non-coding RNA. RefSeq lists it as uncharacterized. NCBI's taxonomy places the organism in Eukaryota, Metazoa, Chordata, Actinopteri, Pleuronectiformes, Soleidae. The record is from RefSeq and is a predicted model, not a curated record. The transcript is spliced from 3 exons.